AGAGUUUGAUUCUGGCUCAGAACGAACGCUGGCAGCGUGGAUUAGGCAUGCAAGUCGAACGGGAUCCUGGGGGUUCAAUUCUUCGGGAGAGAAUCUCUGGGUGAGAGUGGCGGAAGGGUGAGUAACGCGUGGGUAAGCUGCCUCCAAGUUGGGGACAACUCCGCGAAAGCGGGGCUAAUACCGAAUGUGAUUCUCGGUCGCAUGGCCGGGCGAUCAAAGGUGGGGACCUGGAGCUUGUCGAAAGGCCUGCCGCUUGGAGAGGUGCCCGCGUCCCAUCAGCUUGUUGGUGGGGUAAUGGCCCACCAAGGCAAACGGGUAGCUGGUCUGAGAGGAUGGUCAGCCACACUGGGACUGAGACACUGCCCAGACUCCUACGGGAGGCUGCAGUCGAGGAUCAUUCGCAAUGCGCGAAAGCGUGACGAUGCGACGCUGCGUGGAGGAUGACGGCCUUCGGGUUGUAAACUCCUGUCAUGAGGGAAAAGCCGUUCCGCUCCCAACAUGGGCGGAGCCCGAUGGUACCUCAGGAGGAAGCCACGGCUAACUCUGUGCCAGCAGCCGCGGUAAUACAGAGGUGGCUAGCGUUGUUCGGAUUUACUGGGCGUAAAGCGUGCGCAGGCGGUUUCGUAUGUCGGACGUGAAAUACCACCGCUCACCGGUGGAACGGCGCCCGAAACUGCGGAACUUGAGUGCAGGAGGGGAGAGCGGAAUUCUUGGUGUAGCGGUGAAAUGCGUUGAUAUCGAGAAGAACACCGGUGGCGAAGGCGGCUCUCUGGAAUGCAACUGACGCUGAGGCACGAAAGCUGGGGGAGCAAACAGGAUUAGAUACCCUGGUAGUCCCAGCCGUAAACGGUGCGCACUUGGUGUUGGCGGUAUUGACCCCGCCAGUGCCGGAGCUAACGCGUUAAGUGCGCCGCCUGGGGAGUACGGCCGCAAGGCUAAAACUCAAAGAAAUUGACGGGGGCCCGCACAAGCGGAGGAGCAUGUGGCUCAAUUCGAUGCAACGCGAAGAACCUUACCAGGGCUUGACAUGCAGCUGCACGCCCGCCGAAAGGUGGGAAGCCUUCGAGGGUGCUGCACAGGUGCUGCAUGGCUGUCGUCAGUUCGUGCCGUGAGGUGUUGGGUUAAGUCCCGCAACGAACGCAACCCUUGUGUCUAGUUGCCACUGCAGGUGAUGAGCCUGCGAGCACUUUAGACAGACUGCCCGUACAAGCGGGAGGAAGGUGGGGAUGACGUCAAGUCAGUAUGGCCCUUACGCCCUGGGCUGCACACGUGCUACAAUGGCCGGUACAGAGGGCUGCAAUACCGCGAGGUGGAGCAAAUCCCCAAAGCUGGCCUCAGUUCGGAUUGGAGUCUGCAACUCGACUCCAUGAAGUUGGAUUCGCUAGUAACGGCGCAUCAGCUACGGCGCCGUGAAUACGUUCCCGGGCCUUGUACACACCGCCCGUCACAUCAUGAAAGCCGUCUGCACCCGAAGUCGCUGAGCUAACCCGCAAGGGAGGCAGGUGCCGAAGGUGUGGGUGGUGAUUGGGAUGAAGUCGUAACAAGGUA
This 1548-nucleotide ribosomal RNA is filed under the name metagenome. Its description in RNAcentral is "bacterial SSU rRNA". It matches the Rfam family "Bacterial small subunit ribosomal RNA". The record is from RNAcentral.